GUGCUCGCUUUGACAGCACAUCUACUAAAACUGGGGCAAUACAGAGAUGAUUAGUAUGUCCCUUGUGCCAGGAAGACAUGUAAAUUCGUAAAGCUGAAGAUUU
This is a small nuclear RNA of Myodes glareolus (Bank vole), 103 nucleotides long. The record is from RefSeq and is a predicted model, not a curated record. NCBI's taxonomy places the organism in Eukaryota, Metazoa, Chordata, Mammalia, Rodentia, Cricetidae.